GAUGAACGCUGGCGGCGUGCCUAAUACAUGCAAGUCGAGCGAACAGACGAGGGGCUUGCUCCUCUGACGUUAGCGGCGGACGGGUGAGUAACACGUGGAUAACCUACCUAUAAGACUGGGAUAACUUCGGGAAACCGGAGCUAAUACCGGAUAAUAUAUUGAACCGCAUGGUUCAAUAGUGAAAGACGGUUUUGCUGUCACUUAUAGAUGGAUCCGCGUCGCAUUAGCUAGUUGGUAAGGUAACGGCUUACCAAGGCAACGAUGCGUAGCCGACCUGAGAGGGUGAUCGGCCACACUGGAACUGAGACACGGUCCAGACUCCUACGGGAGGCAGCAGUAGGGAAUCUUCCGCAAUGGGCGAAAGCUUGACGGAGCCACGCCGCGUGAGUGAUGAAGGUCUUCGGAUCGUAAAACUCUGUUAUUAGGGAAGAACAAAUGUGUAAGAAACUAUGCACGUCUUGACGGUACCUAAUCAGAAAGCCCCGGCUAACUACGUG
RNAcentral lists this ribosomal RNA (497 nucleotides) under uncultured bacterium. Its description in RNAcentral is "partial 16S ribosomal RNA". It matches the Rfam family "Bacterial small subunit ribosomal RNA", at positions 28 to 507 of the family's 1533-position model. The record is from RNAcentral.